GACGAACGCUGGCGGCGUGCUUAACACAUGCAAGUCGAACGGAAAGACCCUGCUUUUGUGGGGUGCUCGAGUGGCGAACGGGUGAGUAACACGUGAGUAACCUGCCCUUGACUUUGGGAUAACUUCAGGAAACUGGGGCUAAUACCGGAUAGGAGCUCCUGCUGCAUGGUGGGGGUUGGAAAGUUUCGGCGGUUGGGGAUGGACUCGCGGCUUAUCAGCUUGUUGGUGGGGUAGUGGCUUACCAAGGCUUUGACGGGUAGCCGGCCUGAGAGGGUGACCGGCCACAUUGGGACUGAGAUACGGCCCAGACUCCUACGGGAGGCAGCAGUGGGAAAUAUUGCACAAUGGGCGGAAGCCUGAUGCAGCAACGCCGCGUGCGGGAUGACGGCCUUCGGGUUGUAAACCGCUUUCGCCUGUGACGAAGCGUGAGUGACGGUAAUGGGUAAAGAAGCACCGGCUAACUACGUG
RNAcentral lists this ribosomal RNA (468 nucleotides) under uncultured bacterium. RNAcentral describes it as "partial 16S ribosomal RNA". It matches the Rfam family "Bacterial small subunit ribosomal RNA", at positions 28 to 507 of the family's 1533-position model. The record is from RNAcentral.